Molecule: microRNA precursor, 98 nt
Filed under: Marmota monax (woodchuck)
Lineage: Eukaryota; Metazoa; Chordata; Mammalia; Rodentia; Sciuridae
Source: RNAcentral
AGUGGAAUUGUUGUGUCAUAAUUCUAAGUUUCACUUUUCGAGAAACUUCCAAGUCAUUUCCCAUAGUGGCGUCACCAUUUUACAUUCCCAUCAACAAU